RNAcentral lists this transfer RNA (86 nucleotides) under Sphaerobacteraceae bacterium. RNAcentral's name for it is "tRNA-Leu". It matches the Rfam family "tRNA". From Rfam's summary of the family: Transfer RNA (tRNA) molecules are approximately 80 nucleotides in length. The record is from RNAcentral. Lineage: Bacteria; Pseudomonadati; Thermomicrobiota; Thermomicrobia; Sphaerobacterales; Sphaerobacteraceae.
GCCGAAGUGGCGGAAUGGCAGACGCGUCGGUCUCAAAAACCGAUGGCCGAAAGGUCGUGCGGGUUCGACUCCCGCCUUCGGCACUA